RNAcentral lists this ribosomal RNA (439 nucleotides) under uncultured bacterium. RNAcentral's name for it is "partial 16S ribosomal RNA". It matches the Rfam family "Bacterial small subunit ribosomal RNA", at positions 339 to 795 of the family's 1533-position model. The record is from RNAcentral.
CUACGGGCUGCUCCAGUGAGGAAUAUUGCACAAUGGGGGGAACCCUGAUGCAGCAACGCCGCGUGGAGGAUGACGCAUUUCGGUGUGUAAACUCCUUUUAUAUGUCAAGAAAAUGACGGUGGCAUAUGAAUAAGCACCGGCUAACUCCGUGCCAGCAGCCGCGGUAAUACGGAGGGUGCAAGCGUUACUCGGAAUCACUGGGCGUAAAGGACGCGUAGGCGGGUUGGAAAGUCAGGUGUGAAAUCCUACAGCUUAACUGUGGAACUGCACUUGAAACUUCUAAUCUAGAGUAUGGGAGGGGGAGAUGGAAUUAGUGGUGUAGGGGUAAAAUCCGUAGAUAUCACUAGGAAUACCUAAAGCGAAGGCGAUCUCCUGGAACAUUACUGACGCUAAGGCGUGAAAGCGUGGGGAGCAAACAGGAUUAGAUACCCCAGUAGUC